GACAGAGGGUGCAAACGUUGUUCGGAAUUACUGGGCGUAAAGCGUGCGUAGGCGGUCUCGUAAGUCAGGUGUGAAAUCCCAAGGCUCAACCAUGGAAGUGCACUUGAUACUGCGAGGCUUGAGUACUGGAGAGGUUGGUGGAAUUCUUGGUGUAGAGGUGAAAUUCGUAGAUAUCAAGAGGAACACCGGUGGCGAAGGCGGCCAACUGGACAGAUACUGACGCUGAGGCACGAAAGCGCGGGGAGCAAACAGG
Molecule: ribosomal RNA, 253 nt
Filed under: uncultured bacterium
Lineage: Bacteria
Description: partial 16S ribosomal RNA
Rfam family: Bacterial small subunit ribosomal RNA
Source: RNAcentral